AUAUCAGUAAGCGGAGGAAAAGAAACUAACGAGGAUUCCCUCAGUAACGGCGAGUGAACGGGGAAGAGCCCAGCGCUAAAUCCUGUUGCUCUAACGGGUAACGGGAGGUGUAGCGUAUAGUAGGCGAAUUUCCUUGAUGGCUGUCGACUUAAAUUCUCCUUGACUGGGGUUCCAGAGAAGGUGAAAGGCCUGUUCAGUCGAUGGCCGUCUUGGAUUCCGUUCUACUUGGAGUCGGGUUGUUUGGGAACGCAGCCCAAAUUGGGUGGUAAACUUCAUCUAAGGCUAAAUACGGCCACGAAACCGAUAGCAAACAAGUACCGUGAGGGAAAGUUGAAAAGUACUUUGAAGAGAGAGUUCAAGAGGACGUGAAACCGGUAGGAUGGAAACGGAUAGAGCCAACGAACAAGCCCGUAUUCAGCUAGUCGGCUGCGUGCGGCAUGCCUGUGUGCUCGUUCAGGGUGCAUGGGUGUGUGCGGUAUGCGGUCGGCUAGUGCAUUUGCGGGUGAUGUGCGCUGAGGCGUGUGGCGGAGUCCUGCAAACUGUCUGGAGAGGCCUCGCCUU
This 561-nucleotide ribosomal RNA is filed under the name uncultured fungus. RNAcentral's name for it is "eukaryotic LSU rRNA". It matches the Rfam family "Eukaryotic large subunit ribosomal RNA", at positions 40 to 584 of the family's 3401-position model. Lineage: Eukaryota; Fungi. The record is from RNAcentral.